CGCGAAACUGCGAAUGGCUCAUUAAAUCAGUUAUCGUUUAUUUGAUAGUUCCAUACUACUUGGAUAACCGUGGUAAUUCUAGAGCUAAUACAUGCAAAAAACCGCGACUUCGGAAGCGGUGUAUUUAUUAGAUUAAAGACCAAUGCCCUUCGGGGCUGACAGGUGAUUCAUGAUAACUUCUCGAAUCGCAUGGCCUUGCGCCGGCGAUGGUUCAUUCAAAUUUCUGCCCUAUCAACUUUCGACUUUAGUGUAGUGGACUAAAGUGGUUGCAACGGGUAACGGAGGGUUAGGGCUCGACCCCGGAGAAGGAGCCUGAGAAACGGCUACUACAUCCAAGGAAGGCAGCAGGCGCGCAAAUUACCCAAUCCCGACACGGGGAGGUAGUGACAAUAAAUACUGAUACAGGGCUCUUUUGGGUCUUGUAAUUGGAAUGAGUACAAUUUAAAUCCCUUAACGAGGAACAAUUGGAGGGCAAGUCUGGUGCCAGCAGCCGCGGUAAUUCCAGCUCCAAUAGCGUAUAUUAAAGUUGUUGUGGUUAAAAAGCUCGUAGUUGAACCUGGGCCUCGCGCAGACCGGUCCGCCUCACCGCGUGCACUGGUCCUGCCGGGGCUUUCACUAGGGGAUUCGCAUGUCCUUCACUGGUCGUGCGCGGAACCUGGACUUUUACUGUGAAAAAAUUAGAGUGUUCAAAGCAGGCCUAUGCUCGAAUACAUUAGCAUGGAAUAAUAGAAUAGGACGUGGGGUUCUAUUUUGUUGGUUAUGGGACCGCCGUAAUGAUUAAUAGGGACAGUCGGGGGCAUCAGUAUUCAAUUGUCAGAGGUGAAAUUCUUGGAUUUAUUGAAGACUAACUACUGCGAAAGCAUUUGCCAAGGAUGUUUUCAUUAAUCAGGAACGAAAGUUAGGGGAUCGAAGACGAUCA
RNAcentral lists this ribosomal RNA (919 nucleotides) under Zalerion maritima. Its description in RNAcentral is "SSU rRNA". It matches the Rfam family "Eukaryotic small subunit ribosomal RNA", at positions 80 to 1010 of the family's 1831-position model. The record is from RNAcentral. Lineage: Eukaryota; Fungi; Ascomycota; Sordariomycetes; Lulworthiales; Lulworthiaceae.